UGAGUGGUUGGAUGUGGGGGUUUGUUGGCCUCUUAAAUGAGUUCAGCUCCUCUGAAAUGCAUUAGCAGAACAACCCUGUUCAUUGGCGUGAUAACUAUCUACGCUAUUGAAUGUGAGGGACGGUUCAGCUUUCUAACAGUCCUUGGACAACUUAUCAUUUAUGUGACCUCAAAUCAGGUAGGACUACCUGCUGAACUUAA
RNAcentral lists this unclassified non-coding RNA (200 nucleotides) under soil metagenome. Its description in RNAcentral is "partial contains internal transcribed spacer 2 and large subunit ribosomal RNA". The record is from RNAcentral.